This is a long non-coding RNA of Homo sapiens (human), 375 nucleotides long. Lineage: Eukaryota; Metazoa; Chordata; Mammalia; Primates; Hominidae. The record is from Ensembl.
GCAAGAGUGGCAAAAGUGGAGUCCAGAGAGAACAGAAAGAAUACUGGGAUGAGUUUCUGAAUACAGCCAGCCACAUCCGGGAAGUGGAAAAGAACGAGACAUUGCCUCCCUCUCAGCCUUCAAGAUGCCAAGGUAGCAGAGGGCUUUGGCUAUGGCCAGCCCAUUCUUGCGGAGGACAGUUGGCCUGGGAGCAACACAGGCUGUAACAGAUUCAUGUGUUCUGCUGAGGAACAGCUGGGGAGAGAAUGGGGUAGAAGGUGGGGAAGUUUUGACCCCAGGAAGCAGGACAUAGGAUUUCCUGGGAUUUUAUAUCCUCAUCAGUCCUCUGUUACUUUCUUGUGGUACUUCCUAAUAAUAAAUUAGCAUCCAACUCUA